AAAUGAAUUGACGGGGGCCCGCACAAGCAGCGGAGCGUGUGGUUUAAUUCGAUGAUACGCGAAGAACCUUACCAGGGUUUGACAUACAAGUGGUAGAGAAAGGAAACUGGACCGACCCUUCGGGGAGCUUGAACAGGUGCUGCAUGGCUGUCGUCAGCUCGUGUCGUGAGAUGUUCGGUUAAGUCCGCUAACGAGCGCAACCCUUGUUGUGUGUUACAAGUAUCACGCAAGACCGCCGGUAGAAAGCCGGAGGAAGGUGGGGAUGACGUCAAGUCAGCAUGGCCUAUAUAUCCUGGGCUACACACACGCUACAAUGAUCGGUACAAUGGGUCGCGAAGCCGCGAGGCGGAGCCAAUCCUAAAAAGCCGGUCUCAGUGCAGAUUGCAGGCUGCAACUCGCCUGCAUGAAGAUGGAGUUGCUAGUAACCGCAGGUCAGCGAUACUGCGGUGAAUACGUUCCCGGGCCUUGUACACACCGCCCGU
This 482-nucleotide ribosomal RNA is filed under the name uncultured bacterium. RNAcentral describes it as "bacterial SSU rRNA". It matches the Rfam family "Bacterial small subunit ribosomal RNA", at positions 903 to 1397 of the family's 1533-position model. The record is from RNAcentral.